GUGCUUGCUUCAGCAGCACAUGUACUAAAAUUGGAACGGUACAGGGAAGAUUAGCAUGGCCCCUGCGCAAGGAUGAGAUGACUGUUAAAAUUAAGUAUUAAGUAUAG
This 107-nucleotide small nuclear RNA is filed under the name Chinchilla lanigera (long-tailed chinchilla). Lineage: Eukaryota; Metazoa; Chordata; Mammalia; Rodentia; Chinchillidae. The record is from RNAcentral.